AAUAUCGAAAAGAGUUGUACUAAUUAACUAGAGUUUAAUGUAAGAUGGAUUGAGUACGGUGAGUGUAGGGAUAUAAUUCCCCGAUAAAAAGUAGGAGGUGGUAAAGGCGAAAAAAGACAUAAAUGUAAAAACUGACGUUAAGGGACGAAGGCUUGUGUCCAAAUAACAGGAUUAGAUACCCUAGUAUUUUGAGCAGACAAUGAUGAAUGUCAUAUACAAGAAAUUUUUUGUGUAUAAAUGAAAGUGUAAGCAUUCCACCUCAAGAGUAACGUGGCAACAUGGGAACUGAAAUCACUAGACCGCUUCUGAAACUAGUAGUGAAGUAUGUUGUUUAAUUUGAUAGUCCUCAUUUUGAAUGAGCACAAUUUGAAUAUAUGGCUGUGUAGCCCGCAAGCGUUGCACAGUUACAAGCGUUGCACGGCUGUCUUCCCCCAUUAUUGUGAAACUGUGGUUAGAUCCAUUAAAUUGACGUAAACCCUUAAUUUAUUUAUAAUAGAGUAGUACUCCUCCUUAUAGGUAGCGAUAUAAGGGACCAAGACAAGUCAUCCUGCUUG
Molecule: ribosomal RNA, 554 nt
Filed under: Gintarasia lamellifera
Lineage: Eukaryota; Fungi; Ascomycota; Lecanoromycetes; Ostropales; Graphidaceae
Description: SSU rRNA
Rfam family: Bacterial small subunit ribosomal RNA
Source: RNAcentral